RNAcentral lists this ribosomal RNA (253 nucleotides) under uncultured bacterium. RNAcentral's name for it is "partial 16S ribosomal RNA". It matches the Rfam family "Bacterial small subunit ribosomal RNA", at positions 524 to 776 of the family's 1533-position model. The record is from RNAcentral.
UACGGAGGGUGCGAGCGUUAAUCGGAAUAACUGGGCGUAAAGGGCACGCAGGCGGCUAUUUAAGUGAGGUGUGAAAGCCCCGGGCUUAACCUGGGAAUUGCAUUUCAGACUGGGUAGCUAGAGUACUUUAGGGAGGGGUAGAAUUCCACGUGUAGCGGUGAAAUGCGUAGAGAUGUGGAGGAAUACCGAAGGCGAAGGCAGCCCCUUGGGAAUGUACUGACGCUCAUGUGCGAAAGCGUGGGGAGCAAACAGG